RNAcentral lists this transfer RNA (61 nucleotides) under Falcidens halanychi. Its description in RNAcentral is "tRNA-Val". Lineage: Eukaryota; Metazoa; Mollusca; Caudofoveata; Chaetodermatida; Chaetodermatidae. The record is from RNAcentral.
AAAUAGGAGUAGUCUAGUUACUUUUACAAGGUAUAUAUAGCUGUGCAAAUCAGCAUUUGAU